CUGAGUUUGAUCCUGGCUCAGGACGAACGCUGGCGGUAUGCUUAACACAUGCAAGUCGAGCGAGAAUCGUUUAUUGAAGGCUUCGGCUGGAAAUAGAUGAGGAAAGCGGCGAACGGGUGAGUAACGCGUGGGCAACCUGGCCUUAAGAAAAGGAUAGCCCCCGGAAACGGGGAGUAAUACUUUAUGAAAAUGAGAGAGGGCAUCCUACUUUCAUUCAAAGCGCAAGCGCUUAAGGAUGGGCCCGCGUAUCAUUAGCUAGUUGGUGAGAUAACAGCCCACCAAGGCAACGAUGAUUAGCCGGUCUGAGAGGGCGAACGGCCACAUUGGAACUGAGAGACGGUCCAAACUCCUACGGGAGGCAGCAGUGGGGAAUAUUGCGCAAUGGAGAAGAACUCUGACGCAGCAAUACCGCGUGAGCGAAGAAGGUCUUCGGAUCGUAAAGCUCUGUUAUCAGGGAAGAAGAAAAUGACGGUACCUGAUGAGCAAGUCCCGGCUAACUACGUGCCAGCAGCCGCGGUAAUACGUAGGGGACAAGCGUUGUCCGGAAUCACUGGGCGUAAAGGGCGCGCAGGCGGUGAUUUAAGCAGGAUGUGAAAGGCUACGGCUCAACCGUAGACAUGCACCCUGAACUGGGUCACUUGAGUAUUGGAGAGGCAGGCAGAAUUCCUGGUGUAGCGGUGAAAUGCGUAGAUAUCAGGAGGAAUACCGGAGGCGAAGGCGGCCUGCUGGACCAAAUACUGACGCUAGGCGCAAAGCG
Molecule: ribosomal RNA, 757 nt
Filed under: uncultured bacterium
Lineage: Bacteria
Description: bacterial SSU rRNA
Rfam family: Bacterial small subunit ribosomal RNA
Source: RNAcentral